Molecule: ribosomal RNA, 854 nt
Filed under: uncultured bacterium
Lineage: Bacteria
Description: bacterial SSU rRNA
Rfam family: Bacterial small subunit ribosomal RNA
Source: RNAcentral
CGGGUGAGUAACGCGUGAGGACAUGGCUUCAGGAGGGGGAUAACGUUUGGAAACGGACGCUAAGACCCCAUAUGCCGGAAGGUGAAAGUGAUCUUCGGAUCAGCCUGGAGAGUGACUCGCGUCCUAUCAGCUAGUUGGUGGGGUGAAGGCCUACCAAGGCGAUGACGGGUAGCCGACCUGAGAGGGUGGCCGGACACACUGGAACUGAGAUACGGUCCAGACUCCUACGGGAGGCAGCAGUGGGGAAUAUUGGGCAAUGGGCGCAAGCCUGACCCAGCGACGCCGCGUGGGGGAUGAAGUCUUUCGGGAUGUAAACCCUUGUUGUACGGGACGAAGGAAGUGACGGUACCGUACGAGGAAGCCCCCGGCAAACUACGUGCCAGCAGCCGCGGUAAUACGUAGGGGGCGAGCGUUGUCCGGAAUCCCUGGUGCGUAAAGCGCACCGUAAGGCGGGCUGUCAAGUCGGCCGUGAAAGGCAUGGGCUCAACCUGUGCAUGUCGGUCGAUACUGGCGGUCUGGAGUAUGGGAGAGGGAACUGGAGUUCCCGGUGUAGCGGUGAAAUGCGUAGAUAUCGGGAGGAACACCAGUGGCGAAGGCGGGUUCAUGGCCCAUGACUGACGCUGAGGGCGAAAGCCGGGGGAGCGAACGGGAUUAGAUACCCCGGUAGUCCCGGCUGUAAACGAUGGAUGCUAGGUGUGGGGGGGUUACCUUCUGUGCCGCAGCUAACGCGAUAAGCAUCCCGCCUGGGGAGUACGAUCGCAAGAUUGAAACUCAAAGGAAUUGACGGGGGCCCGCACAAGCGGUGGAGCACGUGGUUUAAUUCGAUGCAAACCGAAGAACCUUACCUGGGUUUG